GGCGGAGCCAAAUGCUGGUUUGGCCAAUCAGGACCUCCUCAUAGAGAUGCAUCUCUAUGAGGAAAAUUCUGCAUCUCCAUGCAGAGCGUGGGGAUGCUGAACGGCAGGAUGCUUACUGUGCAGCUCGGAGGCAGGAAGCACCUCCAGUGGCCAUCUAAGGAGUGGUUACUUGGAGGUGUCCCUAGGGGCAAUGUAAACACUGCCUUUUCUCUGAAAAGGCAGUGUUUACAUGAAAAUGCCUGCAGGGAGUUAUUAUACUCACCAGAACAAAUACAUUAACGUGUAGUUGUUCUGGUGACUAUAGUGACCCUUUAAUGUUGAAAAAUAAAAUGUGAUACAUUUGUAGCUUUUAAAGUAUCAUAGGCAUACAAUAAAAGGUCUUC
Pelobates cultripes (western spadefoot toad) is the source of this 383-nucleotide non-coding RNA. The record is from the annotation of a GenBank genome assembly. Lineage: Eukaryota; Metazoa; Chordata; Amphibia; Anura; Pelobatidae.